CCUACGGGGCGCAGCAGGCGCGAAAACUCUACAAUGCAGGCAACUGCGAUAGGGGAACAUCGAGUGAUACUCAUAUUGGGUGUCUGUCCUUCCGUCUAAAAAACGGGAGUUAGCAAGGGCCGGGCAAGACCGGUGCCAGCCGCCGCGGUAAUACCGGCGGCUCGAGUGGUGGCCGAUAUUAUUGAGUCUAAAGGGUCCGUAGCCGGCUUUGCAAGUCUUUUGGGAAAUCCAGCGGCUUAACCGUUGGGCGUCCGGGAGAUACUACAUUGCUUGGGACUGGGAGAGGCGUGAGGUACUCAGGGGGUAGGAGUGAAAUCCUGUAAUCCA
RNAcentral lists this ribosomal RNA (327 nucleotides) under uncultured archaeon. RNAcentral describes it as "bacterial SSU rRNA". It matches the Rfam family "Archaeal small subunit ribosomal RNA", at positions 322 to 649 of the family's 1478-position model. The record is from RNAcentral.